UUUUAGAGAAUUUGACAUUAA
Molecule: non-coding RNA, 21 nt
Filed under: Caenorhabditis elegans
Lineage: Eukaryota; Metazoa; Nematoda; Chromadorea; Rhabditida; Rhabditidae
Source: RNAcentral